CGAGGGGCAGCAUUUUAGUUUGCUUGCAACUGAAGAUGGCGACCGGCGCACGGGUGAGUAACACGUAUCCAACCUGCCGAUAACUCCGGAAUAGCCUUUCGAAAGAAAGAUUAAUACCGGAUAGUAUACGAAUAUCGCAUGAUAUUUUUAUUAAAGAAUUUCGGUUAUCGAUGGGGAUGCGUUCCAUUAGUUUGUUGGCGGGGUAACGGCCCACCAAGACUACGAUGGAUAGGGGUUCUGAGAGGAAGGUCCCCCACAUUGGAACUGAGACACGGUCCAAACUCCUACGGGAGGCAGCAGUGAGGAAUAUUGGUCAAUGGGCGCGAGCCUGAACCAGCCAAGUAGCGUGAAGGAUGAAGGCUCUAUGGGUCGUAAACUUCUUUUAUAUGGGAAUAAAGUUUUCCACGUGUGGAAUUUUGUAUGUACCAUAUGAAUAAGGAUCGGCUAACUCCGUGCCAGCAGCCGCGGUAAUACGGAGGAUCCGAGCGUUAUCCGGAUUUAUUGGGUUUAAAGGGAGCGUAGGUGGAUUGUUAAGUCAGUUGUGAAAGUUUGCGGCUCAACCGUAAAAUUGCAGUUGAAACUGGCAGUCUUGAGUACAGUAGAGGUGGGCGGAAUUCGUGGUGUAGCGGUGAAAUGCUUAGAUAUCACGAAGAACUCCGAUUGCGAAGGCAGCUCACUAGACUGUUACUGACACUGAUGCUCGAAAGUGUGGGUAUCAAACAGGAUUAGAUACCCUGGUAGUCCACACAGUAAACGAUGAAUACUCGCUGUUUGCGAUAUACAGUAAGCGGCCAAGCGAAAGCAUUAAGUAUUC
Molecule: ribosomal RNA, 814 nt
Filed under: uncultured bacterium
Lineage: Bacteria
Description: bacterial SSU rRNA
Rfam family: Bacterial small subunit ribosomal RNA
Source: RNAcentral